GUGCGGCCCGAAGGUCAUAAAUGUCGUGAUGGUUAAAUUCCAUCUCCCAUAGCAUCUGGGUAAAAUCAUGAUCCACACCUUAAGAAAGUGGCAAGUUCUCAUGGUGUAAGCAUGGAUCAAAAGGGAGUAAUAUCAAACCUUAUGAUAAAUCCUCUCGAGAAGAGUUAGAUAUGGCUACGAAAAGAAACUUAUGUUUGAACUGUCGUUAGUUCAAAUAUGCGAAAUAAGGUUGAAUACGCAUAUACCAAAAGGUAUGAAGAAAAGGGUAAUUAGGAUCGGCUUUUCCUGAUUAAGAUGCUUCCAACCUUCCGGCAGAUAGUAAGAGCCUAAGUUUAACGAGAAACGGUUUUAUGGAACGGAGUAACCACAUGGAAGCUCUUAUUAUUCUUUAUUUUCAAAAGGAUAGCUAAGAAGGUAGCCAGCCGAAUGCUCCUAUGUAGAGGGAUUGUCUAAGAAGCUAAUGCCUAAGGUAAUGUUUAGGAUAUGCAAACGUAGACACUGUAGUUUGGAAGGUAAAGUUGUGAAUAGUAGUGAAUAUGUUAUGAGCCAACAAAAUGUUAGGUAUGAAUGGAAUGAAAUUCCUUGGCGCAAGCUGGAGAAAUCUUCAUUUAAGCUACAAAAACGAAUUUACCGAGCUUCACAAUGUAAUGAUAUCAAAAAGAUGCAUAAUCUUCAGAGAUUGUUACUCAGAUCAACAAGUGCAAGAACGCUCGCUGUUAGAAAGGUAACUCAGGAUAACAGAGGAAAAAAGACUGCAGGUAUAGAUGGAAAAGCGAAUCUUAAUCAAAAAGAAAGGUUACAAUUAGUAUAUUCUUUGGAUAUAAGAGAAAAAGCAAAACCAUCGAGACGAGUUUGGAUUCCAAAACCUGGCAAGCCAUCGGAGUAUCGCCCGCUUGGUAUUCCUACAAUAUCAGAUCGAGCAAAACAAACACUUGUAAAAAUGGUGAUAGAACCGGAGUGGGAAGCAAAAUUUGAGCCAAACACAUAUGGUUUUAGGUCUGGUAGGUCGUGUCAUGAUGCCAUUGAAGCUAUAUUCAUAGCACUAAAACAGAAAACAGCAUUUUUACUGGAUGCAGAUAUUUCAGGGUGCUUUGAUAACAUCAACCAUAAUGCAUUACAAAAAAAAGCUUAACACCACACCAACAUUAACUAAAGUUAUAAAAAGGUGGCUAAAAGCAGGAGUUAUGGAAGGUAAAGCGUUUAGACCCACAAAGAGUGGUACAGUACAAGGCGGAACUAUUUCACCUUUGUUAGCAAGUAUAGCUCUACAUGGGUUAGAAUAUUACCUAAAAAUGGCAUUGAGAAAGGAACUAUUUGAUUAUCAAAAGAAAAAAUAUGGUAAAGCUUCACAUAAACAUGCUGGUCAAUCACUAAGUGUGAUUACUUAUGCAGAUGAUUGUGUGAUUCUCCAUGAAAAUGAGGAAAUUGUUUUUAAGGCAAAAAAUCUAACGGAAAGAUGGUUAAAUACCAUUGGAUUAGAGUUAAAGCCAUCAAAGACAAAAAUAUCUCAUACGUUAAAAACUUAUGGAGGACAAAUACCAGGUUUUGAUUUUCUUGGGUUCACAAUACGACAAUACUUAACAAAACAAAGUAAGAAAGGUUAUAAAUUAUUAAUUAAACCAAGUCGCCUCUCUAUAAAACAACAUGCUAAAAUCAUUAAGCAAAAACUUAAAGAAAUGCGUGCAGCACCUCAAGAAGCAGUAAUUAAAAACCUUAAUCCAGUUAUUAGAGGAUGGAGUCAGUAUUACUCUUCGGUAGUGUCACAUAAAGUAUUUAGUUCUUUAGAUCAUGAUAUGCAUGGAAAGCUUUGGAAAUGGGCAGUCUUUAGACACUGUAACAAAGGGAAGCAUUGGAUUAAGAGAAAAUACUUUCGAAAGAAAGAUAACGAUAAUUGGAGAUUUAUGACGAAUAACAAUUUACUGCUUGUUAGGCACGUAGAUCAUGCCAUAAGAAGGCAUAUCAAAGUGAAAGGAUCUAGAUCUUUAUAUGACGGAGAUUGGUUAUAUUGGGCAAAUCGCUUAAGUAAAGUUCCAGGAAAAUCACCACGAGUAAUAAAAUUAAUGAAGUUGCAACAAGGUAAAUGUGAUCAAUGUCAACUUUGGUUCAAAAAUGAUGAUAUCCUAGAGAUACACCAUAAAGACCGGAAUAGACGUAAUAAUAUGAGCAAAAAUUUAUCCUUGUUGCAUGGGCAUUGUCACGACGAAUUACAUGGGAGUAUGCAUGAAAAGCGCCAAAUUAGAGAGAAGCCGGAUGAUGGGAAACUAUCAAGUCCGGUUUUGAAGUCGAGUGGGGAGAGGUGACUUUCCUCACUUAGAUAAC
This 2319-nucleotide non-coding RNA is filed under the name Wolbachia endosymbiont of Armadillidium vulgare str. wVulC. Lineage: Bacteria; Pseudomonadati; Pseudomonadota; Alphaproteobacteria; Rickettsiales; Anaplasmataceae. The record is from RNAcentral.